Molecule: ribosomal RNA, 467 nt
Filed under: uncultured bacterium
Lineage: Bacteria
Description: SSU rRNA
Rfam family: Bacterial small subunit ribosomal RNA
Source: RNAcentral
AGGACGAACGCUGGCGGCGUGCUUAACACAUGCAAGUGGAGCGACGAACCGGGGCUUGCCCCGGGGCAGAGCCGCGAACGGGUGAGUAACACGUGGGUCACCUGCCUCAAUGACCGGGACAACCCGAGGAAACUCGGGCUAAUACCGGAUGUGCCCGCAAGGGGAAAGGAAGCUUCGGCCUCCGCAUUGAGAUGGGCCCGCGGCCCAUUAGCUUGUUGGUGAGGUAACGGCUCACCAAGGCUUCGAUGGGUAGCUGGUCUGAGAGGACGAUCAGCCACACUGGGACUGAGACACGGCCCAGACUCCUACGGGAGGCAGCAGUGGGGAAUCUUGCGCAAUGCGCGAAAGCGUGACGCAGCAACGCCGCGUGGGGGAAGAAGGCUUUCGGGUUGUAAAACUCUUUCGACGGGGACGAUAAUGACGGUACCCGUAGAAGAAGCUCCGGCUAACUUCGUGCCAGCAGCCGC